RNAcentral lists this ribosomal RNA (789 nucleotides) under uncultured archaeon. RNAcentral's name for it is "bacterial SSU rRNA". It matches the Rfam family "Archaeal small subunit ribosomal RNA", at positions 85 to 879 of the family's 1478-position model. The record is from RNAcentral.
ACUGCUCAGUAACACGUGGACAAUCUGCCCUGAAGAGGAGGAUAAUCCCGGGAAACUGGGGGUAAUACUCCAUAGUUCGUGCUGACUGGAAUGUUAUGCGAACGAAAGAUGAGUCGCUUCAGGAUGAGUCUGCGGCCGAUUAGGUAGUUGUUGGGGUAACGGCCCAACAAGCCUGUCAUCGGUACGGGUUGUGGGAGCAAGAGCCCGGAGAUGGAUUCUGAGACACAAAUCCAGGCCCUACGGGGCGCAGCAGGCGCGAAAACUUUACCAUGCGGGCAACCGUGAUAAGGAAACCCCGAGUGCCAGCAGAGGCUGGCUGUCCGCCAGUGUACAUAACUGGUGAAGAAAGGGCCGGGCAAGACCGGUGCCAGCCGCUGCGGUAAUACCGGCGGCUCGAGUGGUGGCCGCUAUUACUGGGCUUAAAGGGUCCGUAGCUGGAUGUACAAGUCCCUUGAGAAAUCCGCGGGCUUAACCUGCGGGCGUUCAGGGGAAACUGUAUCUCUAGGGACCGGGAGAGGUGAGAGGUACUGCCGGGGUAGGAGUGAAAUCCUGUAAUCCCGGUGGGACCACCUAUGGCGAAGGCAUCUCACCAGAACGGGUCCGACAGUGAGGGACGAAAGCUGGGGGAGCAAACCGGAUUAGAUACCCGGGUAGUCCCAGCUGUAAACGAUGCGCGUUAGGUGUGUCAGUGACCACGUGUCACUGAGGUGCCGAAGGGAAACCGUGAAACGCGCCGCCUGGGGAGUACGGUCGCAAGGCUGAAACCUAAAGGAAUUGGCGGGGGAGCAC